Non-coding RNA from Cricetulus griseus (Chinese hamster), 404 nucleotides. The record is from Rfam. Lineage: Eukaryota; Metazoa; Chordata; Mammalia; Rodentia; Cricetidae.
GUGAAGCCCCUGUUGAGGGCCCUACCCUUCCUGGGGAGUGAAGGGUGUAUGGGGUGGGGGGAUAGGUCAGGUUGGGAUAGGAGGGGUGAGGGUGAGUGGAGGGAGAGGAAGAAGGGAUUGACAUGUGAAACAAGCUUGUUCCUAAUUUGAACAAAUUUAAAAAAAGAAAGUGGGUCCUCCCCAUCAUUCUUACAUUUUGGGUUUUAAGCUGGAGGUAUCAGAACAGUUACCACAGGGAUAACUGUCUUAUGAUGGCCAAGCGUUCAUAGCGACAUCACUUUUUGAUGCUUCGAUGUCAGCUCUUCCUGUCAUUGUGAAGCAGAAUUCACCAAGUGUUGGAUUGUUCACCCUCUGAUAGGGAACGUUAGCUGGAUUUAGACAGUCAUGAGACAGGUUAGUGUUAC